UAUAAACUGUUGAAGGGGAAGUAAAACCGCAGGACCAACCUUAAAGAGAGCCGGGUAUGGUGGAAGCCCGGCAGGCGAUGGAGCGGAUAAAUGGGCCCCAGAGGGUGGAGCGAACAGGCUUUGGCUUUAGUAGCUACCAACGUAAAGCCGGCGUUAUCGGGCUAAGGGUGUGUUGGCACUCUGCAGGAGAGGAUGCGUGUUUAUGCAUCAACUAAGGUGGUACCGCAGAUUAACGUCUGUCCUUAUU
RNAcentral lists this non-coding RNA (247 nucleotides) under Desulfosporosinus orientis. RNAcentral's name for it is "T-box sequence". It matches the Rfam family "T-box leader". From Rfam's summary of the family: Uncharged tRNA acts as the effector for transcription antitermination of genes in the T-box leader family. T-boxes are found upstream of many aminoacyl-tRNA synthetase genes and some amino acid biosynthetic genes usually in Gram-positive bacteria. The anticodon of a specific tRNA base pairs to a specifier sequence within the T-box motif, and the NCCA acceptor tail of the tRNA base pairs to a conserved bulge in the T-box antiterminator hairpin. The record is from RNAcentral. Lineage: Bacteria; Bacillati; Bacillota; Clostridia; Eubacteriales; Desulfitobacteriaceae.